This 403-nucleotide ribosomal RNA is filed under the name uncultured bacterium. RNAcentral's name for it is "partial 16S ribosomal RNA". It matches the Rfam family "Bacterial small subunit ribosomal RNA", at positions 30 to 526 of the family's 1533-position model. The record is from RNAcentral.
AUUGAACGCUGGCGGCAGGCCUAACACAUGCAAGUCGAGCGAGCGGCGGACGGGUGAGUAAUGUAUGGGGACUGCCCGAUAGAGGGGGAUAACUAAUGGAAACGGUAGAUAAUACCGCAUACUAUCGGAUAACCCAUAUGGGAGUAGCUAGUUGGUGUGGUAAUAGCGCACGUAGGCGACGAUCCCUAGCUGGUCUGAGAGGAUGAUCAGCCGCACUGGUACGGAGACACUGCGCAGACGACUACGGAGGCAGCAGUGGGGAAUAUUGCACAAUGGGCGCAAUCCUGCUGCAGCCAUGGCGCGUGUAUGAAGAAGGCCUUCGGGUUGUAAAGUACUUUCAGUCGGGAGGCGUUACCGACAGAAGAAGCACCGGCUAACUCCGUGCCAGCAGCCGCGGUAAUAC